Molecule: long non-coding RNA, 949 nt
Organism: Ipomoea nil (Japanese morning glory)
Lineage: Eukaryota; Viridiplantae; Streptophyta; Magnoliopsida; Solanales; Convolvulaceae
Exons: 4
Source: RefSeq, a predicted model, not a curated record
AAAGCUCUCUGUCAUUACAACAAUUUCACAGCUUCUCACCACUUUCUCUCUUCUCUUAGCUUACCUCGGCAUUUCCGAAUUCUUAUUUCACUAGUAUAGAUUGGACAGGGAAAAUGAACAGGCCAGGAGACUGGAAUUGCAGGUCGUGCCAGCACUUGAACUUCCAGAGGAGAGAGUCAUGCCAGAGGUGCGGAGAAGCAAAGCCCGGAGAUAAUUAUGGCAGUUUCGGGCUGGGGAGGGCCGCCGGCGUUGGGCCGGACGUCAGGCCCGGCGACUGGUACUGCGCCGUCGGAAACUGCGGGACCCACAAUUUCGCCAGCCGCUCCAGCUGCUUCAAGUGCGGCGCCUUCAGGGAGGAUUACUCCUUCAGCGGCGGUGAGGUGGCCGCUGACUAUAUGUCGCGUCAGAGAGGAGGCUAUGGGUUCGCCGGCGGCAGCCGCUCUGGCUGGAAAUCCGGCGAUUGGAUUUGCACUAGGCCAGGGUGCAAUGAGCACAACUUUGCAAAUAGGAUGGAGUGUUUCCGAUGCAAUGCACCUCGUGACUCCGGUAACAAGUCCUACAAUUUCUGAUGAAUUAUUAAUAUAAUAAUUCAUCAUUGAUUCUCAAUUUUUAGGUUUCGCAUCUAAGAGAGAAUCAAGAAAGGCGAUUCAGUCAAGAAAUGAUUAUUAGAGCUCAUGCCCUUUACUGCCAACAUUAUUGUUUUCCCUAGUUUUUUGUUCUUUUUUUUUUUAAUUUCUAUUUUUUUUUUAAAAUUAUAUUAUUCUAUAUAUCUUCUAGCUAGGCAACUUUAGACUAUUUUAUCACCAAAAAGAGUGAGGAUCUGAAACUGAGUAGUACCUUUUAAUUAUGCAUUUGUUUACUUCAUGUAGUGGAAGUGUCAAACACAGCUAGCUUUUGUACUUCUGCUUGUUUCACUUUAUUUAAUAUUAGUGAGUGUUAUUAAUUAAAA